CAGCCGUAAACUAUGCGCGUUAGGUGUAUCGGUGACCACGAGUUACCGAGGUGCCGAAGGGAAACCGUGAAACGUGCCGCCUGGGAAGUACGGUCGCAAGGCUGAAACUUAAAGGAAUUGGCGGGGGAGGCACCACAACAGGUGGAGCCUGCGGUUUAAUUGGACUCAACGCCGGGAAGCUCACCGGAUAGGACAGCAGAAUGAUUGCCGGGCUGAAGACCCUGCAUGACUAGCUGAGAGGAGGUGCAUGGCGUCAGUGACU
Molecule: ribosomal RNA, 262 nt
Filed under: uncultured archaeon
Lineage: Archaea
Description: partial 16S ribosomal RNA
Rfam family: Archaeal small subunit ribosomal RNA
Source: RNAcentral